AGUGGUGGCCUUGGCAGUGCUGGGGAUGAGCGGUUGGAGUCGAUGGCCUCUCUCUUUUCCAACUCAAACGAUUCCACGGCUCUGCUCCCUCCGCGGGCGGCUGCGCCAGCACCGCUGCAAAGGGCCGCGCUCGGAGCCCGAGGGCCUCGCCUGUGUCUCCAACAUGUCCCGAGAGACUGAAAGUGAAGUACAGCAGACUCAAGGUGCCCAGUCGUCACAGAGUUCCUCUUCCAGUGGGUCACAGAGUACUAGUCAGUCUUCCUCAAGUUCUGGGACCCUCAGUUCUUUGGACACCCUUCCGACUCAGGAGCUUCCGUCGAUCCCUGAGGAACCUGAAGAGGUGGUUCCUCAGCCGUGGGGUCGACUCUUUGCACUUGCAAAAGGUUUCAGCAACUGUGACUGUGUGAAUGAGGAAUACUGGUUUGGGAGAGACAAAAGCUGUGAUUACAGUUUUUCUAAGCUACGGUUGUACGAGACUGGCUUCUAUGAAAACUAUAGCAAGAAGCACUUCCGAAUUUUCAGGGAAAUGGGUCCAAAAAAUUCCUAUGUUGCCUACAUUGAAGAUCAUAGUGCAAAUGGAACAUUUGUGAAUAGAGAACUUGUUGGAAAAGGGAAGAGGCUUCCACUGAUUCACAACUCUGAAAUUGCACUGUCUCUACAGACCAAUAAGGUGUUUGUAUUUUCUGAUCUUACGGUGGAUGAUCAGAUGAUGUUUCCUAGAGAAUUGAGAGAGAAAUAUAUCAUGUCAAAGACUUUGGGAAGUGGUGCCUGUGGAGAAGUCAAACUGGCCUUUGAGAAGGGCACUUGUAACAAAGUUGCAGUGAAGAUCAUCAAUAAACGGAAGUUUGCGGCAAGCGGCCCGAGAGAGGCAAACCCAGCUUUUAAUAUCGAUACAGAAAUUGAAAUUUUGAAGAAAAUAGAUCACCCUUGCUUAAUCAAGAUCAAAAACUUUUUUGAAGCAGAGGAUUACUACAUUGUUUUGGAACUGAUGGAAGGAGGAGAACUGUAUGACAGAGUGUCAAGGCCAAUCAAGAUGAAAGAAGCUACAUGCAAGUUGUAUUUUUAUCAGAUGCUGCUGGCAGUAAAGUAUCUUCACGACAAUGGAAUUAUACACCGAGAUCUAAAGCCAGAAAAUGUGUUACUUUCCUCUUCUGAAGAAAUAUGUCUUAUAAAGAUUACAGAUUUUGGACAAUCCAAGAUUCUUGGAGAAGCUUCUCUUAUGAAAACAUUAUGUGGUACCCCCAUGUAUCUUGCUCCUGAGGUUCUAAAUUCACUUGGGACUGCUGGAUACAGCCGAGCUGUGGACUGCUGGAGUUUAGGAGUUAUUCUUUUUGUAUGCUUGUGUGGAUAUCCACCAUUCAGUGAGCAAAAUCCUAAACUCUCUCUGGAAGAUCAAAUCACUCGUGGAGAAUACACAUUCAUUGCAAGAGAAUGGAAGCAUGUGUCAGACAUGGCUGAUCUGCAGACUUUGCCUUGCCUAAAGAUUCUUCAAGUGUUGAGCCAAAAAUGCCAGGAAUUUAAGGAAUAUGAGUUAGAACUCCAAAAGACAAAUGUUCCAAGAGAGUCAUUUCAUGGUGCUAGACUUCCAGCUGAAAGUGUCAGUCACAUUUGUGGAAUCAGCUAUUAUGUUUGGCCCACUAUAAGCUAAGUAGUCUGCAAAAUGGAGUUUCUGCAUAGUAAACUGCAAUGAUAGCUAUUGUUUGCAUGCUUUUAUUUUUUUCAGGACAUUUUAUAUGCACAAAAUAAUUGUAGUAUUUGCCUUGGAUACUCCUUUGUAUGUGCAGAGAAGUUUCUAAUAAAUGAUGCUGUCAUUCUUUGCCUAAUAAACUUACCAAGUAUAACUCCUUCCUGAAUAAUUUGAAGCUUAUUCAAUAAUAAGUCAGACAUGUAUGAGAACAGAACUUAUGUUAAGGUUGUACAUAGUCCUACCGGUAUGUAUUUAGAAUAAUCAGAUACAAUGAAAAGUAAAUCGUGCCAAAAUUCCCUUAUGGGAGACUUGUAAUAAUAAAAUAUGACAUAAAUGUCAUAUUUUCAGUGUGUCUAGUAAGCAGCUUCCUAAGAAAAUGAAAGUUUGAGAUUAUGUUGAGCAUACGUGUGUCUGUCUCUUCUUUCUCACCUUCCCAGAUGGACAAUCUGCUUUCCAAGACACAGUAAACCAGGAAAUUAAAUUAAGCUGUCUUUGCUUUUCCACAGUAAUACUGAAGCUUUUAGGAAAGUGCUCAGAACAUAAAUUGGGAACAUGCUUAGUAUAUCUACUGGUAAUUUUGAUAUAUUGAAAAGUGUUGUGUCAUGUGCAUGUGAAGGAAAGAUGGUUGCAGUCUGCAGCCCUCCCUGUGCACAGAAAAAAGAAAAGUGAUCUGCCCAGCCUGUAUUUUUGGGCAUUGUUCUGAAAGGGUAUCAGACACAUUCUUGCACGGAGCUUUUUGUAGGCAUAUUUCAGGUAAUGAAUGUAUUGAUCCUAUGUCAACCAGAUCUCUUAAUUGUUUCAGCUCUGGAUCUUGUGAAGAAGCUGUUAGUAGUGGAUCCAAGCAGACGUCUUACCACAGAGGAAGCCUUAAAGCAUCCUUGGCUUCAGGAUGAGGAUAUGAAGAGUACAUUUCGACAGCUACUUGCU
RNA transcript from Neopelma chrysocephalum (saffron-crested tyrant-manakin), 2614 nucleotides. It is a transcript of the gene named checkpoint kinase 2, with no coding region annotated. Lineage: Eukaryota; Metazoa; Chordata; Aves; Passeriformes; Pipridae. The transcript has 14 exons. The record is from RefSeq and is a predicted model, not a curated record.